CCUUGAAGAAAACACUUGAGCUGAAUAUUGCUGAACUGUGGGCAAAGGUGGAUUCUGCUCUGAACUGAUACUUCAAACAUGAUGGAUGGCAUCCUGUAGAAUGGCUCUGUGACUUGUUCCAGUCAGAAACUGAGACAGUCUGAAAGGAAGUUGCCAACUGCCCCUGCAGAAUCAGACCGUUGAACGGCUCAGUCCUAAGGCAUUUGCCGUGAUGAUUGUGUGAGCCAGUACUCUCACUUAGCAGCUACCAUGUUUCUGGGGAGAGAUGUUUCAUUU
Nothoprocta perdicaria is the source of this 276-nucleotide long non-coding RNA. RefSeq lists it as uncharacterized. The transcript has 3 exons. NCBI's taxonomy places the organism in Eukaryota, Metazoa, Chordata, Aves, Tinamiformes, Tinamidae. The record is from RefSeq and is a predicted model, not a curated record.